RNAcentral lists this ribosomal RNA (423 nucleotides) under uncultured bacterium. RNAcentral describes it as "bacterial SSU rRNA". It matches the Rfam family "Bacterial small subunit ribosomal RNA", at positions 355 to 775 of the family's 1533-position model. The record is from RNAcentral.
UAAGGAAUAUUGGUCAAUGGACGGAAGUCUGAACCAGCCAUGCCGCGUGAAGGAAGAAGGCCCUACGGGUUGUAAACUUCUUUUACCAGGGGAGAAAUCUGGUCAUUUAUGAUCAGUUGACGGUACCUGGGGAAUAAGCACCGGCUAACUCCGUGCCAGCAGCCGCGGUAAUACGGAGGGUGCAAGCGUUAUCCGGAAUCACUGGGUUUAAAGGGUGCGUAGGCGGUUUGAUAAGUCAGUGGUGAAAGCUCAUCGCUCAACGAUGAAAUUGCCAUUGAUACUGUCAGACUUGAAUUAGGAUAAGGUAAGCGGAAUGUGGCAUGUAGCGGUGAAAUGCAUAGAUAUGCCAUAGAACACCAAUUGCGAAGGCAGCUUACUGGGCCUUGAUUGACGCUGAGGCACGAAAGCGUGGGGAUCAAACAG